Mirounga angustirostris (Northern elephant seal) is the source of this 7698-nucleotide long non-coding RNA. RefSeq lists it as uncharacterized. The record is from RefSeq and is a predicted model, not a curated record. NCBI's taxonomy places the organism in Eukaryota, Metazoa, Chordata, Mammalia, Carnivora, Phocidae. The transcript has 4 exons.
AUCACCUAAGUGACUCACUUUCCCCAAACAUGGUGCUAAGCUUUCCCAAGGCCAGGAUGCUGCUCAUGCUGUUCCACCCCUCCAGGAAUGCCUGAUCCCAGCCCACUGGGCCCUGCUAGUCCUUGCCAGCCCAGCCCAAAUGUCAGCUGCCGCAGAGCUCCCCAGUGCUGCUGGCCCAAGUUCUUACCUCCCCCCUGCCUCUCCCAGCCCGUCUGCCCCGUCUGCCCCCUCGGCCCCUCCCGCGUGCUUGCCUUUCGGUCGCUGCUCCCUGCCCCCCGCUGCAGCCCGCACAGGCUGUGCCCCUCGGCAGCAGCGAGCUCCUUCGCGGUCUGGCUAUUCAGCCACCCACACGCCUCAUAGCGCCUGACACGUGGUGUUGUGCAACGUUCAACAGUGUGUAAAGGCUGCAGAGAAGCCGAUGAUGGGAAUUGAGGAACACCUCUGGAUUGCGCCACUGGUGAUUUUUAAGAGAAUAGAUCCCGCAGCGGGGUAGGGCUACGAAGACCAGAGGCCAAGGGGUAAAGGAGUGGAUGCGGAACAGCUGAGGAGUUUCUGGGCCGUUCUCACAACAAGUUUGGCAGAAUGUGCGAGUCUUUGUGGAUGAAAUGACAAGAUGUCUGGGACGGGCUUGCAAGCACUCCAGCAAACAAGGAAAAAUGGGAGUAAGGGAAAAGAAGAAAGAAGGGAGUAAGAGAAUCUUUGAAUUUUCCAUAAUAGAAAUAGCACAAUAGCAACAAAGCAACAAAAAAGUUUGGAAGGGAGCAAAAAUGCCAUCAUUAGCCAGACCUCUGUAGUUUGAAAUCAGUACGGGAAAACACAAGAUUGAGAUUUCCUUCUUUUUGCUUACCUAUUUUGGUGUAAUUCCUAGGCAAGUUUGCUGGUUCUCAUCUUCUACACGUGUUUCAAGGAGUGCAAGUGACAAAUGACUAACACGCCCACGCCAUGCAUUUAUCUCACUACCUCUAACAUCGUUUUGCAUGCGCUUUGCAUUCAUCAUAAAUUUUUCACUUGAUUCUCAUAAUAACCUUACAAUGUUGGGUGUAGAUAUAUCCACUUGAUAAAUGAAGAAAAGGGGGGUUAAGGGACUUAUUUGCAUGUAACUGACAAAUGGACAAAUACACCGCAGAAACCAGGACCCACACCCGGCUGCCUAGGACCAGCCUCUACCCCAGCACACUCCGUCUGUGCCCUGAUGCACAGGCUCGUCCUGAAAUUAGGGGAGAGAACUGCUUCCCUCCUCUUUUUGCAUCUGCCCUCCCCAGGAGGAGGGCUGUGCCACAGUCAACGUUCAUUCAACAAACAAUGAAAAUGAGUAGGACAGCCCUGUCCCUUGGGAGGCUUGCAGUGUCAUCUCAGGAACAGGGUCACUGUCCUCUGCUGGACCUUUGGCGAGACUAGGAGUUAACGUUCUACUGAGUAGGAACUUUGCAAGGUUGCAAACUGUGUUAAGUCUAUAUUCUGAUUUAUUCUUAUCCUUGACUUUGAAAAAGACGGACAUUCUUAGUUUGUAAUGCCCAACCAGCUUACUUCAGCCCAUCCUCUUGAUCUUAGCUGUGUACUUUCAUAUUUCCAUUUUAAUUUCUGAACAGGGAACCUCAUCGGAGGUGCCCUCUCAAUUCCUGCUCCUGGCUCUGACAUUAUGUAUCUUGGCAGAAAUUCUCAAGUAUACUUCAGGAUUCAGACACAGUAGCUUGAGAACUUGACAUUGAAAUUCAGUAAGAGAUUUGGAGAACUCCAUCAAUACAGCAUCUCCACCUAAAGAAAAUCCCUUUGGUUUCUGUGAUGGAGUUGAAAUUAUAAGAACUAACAUUUAUUGAAAGUCGACUCUAUGCCAAGCAUUAUUCACACGCAUUUAUCUGCUCCCUCCUCACAAGCUUUUGAAGUAAAUACUGCAGUCAUCCCAGUUCCACGGCCGAGAAAGCUGAGGCAGAGGGAGCUGAGUUCCCAGGGCGGAGCCUUGGUGGAUCGAUGAGCCCACCGAGCUCUAUUCCAUCCCACACUGAUACUGAUAACCAUGCUGGAUCCAUACCAGGCCAGGGUUCAUCUCCUUGGGCUUUCUGUGUGAGCCCCGACCAGGGAUCAGAAAUCUGCACUCUGACCCGGCCUUUGCCUUCGUCUUCCUGUCUGUCAUCUGCCUCCCUAUUUGUCACCUUUCCCUUGUCACCAUCCGACAUCUGACGUGGCCAGGCAGCAAGGGGAAGACUGAACCAGCAGCAGCCCAGCGGGCCAGACCUGAGUUGCAUCAGCCCGUCCCUGGACGGUUCCUUCUGCUGGAAAGAAGCCAGCUGUGGUGACAGCAAAGGCUCAGGGUGGGCAUCCUAAAUCGGACAUCUGACCGUGUCACGCUCUGGAAACACCGCCGGUUUCUCGUGGCCAACUGAAUAGAACCCAGAUUCCUCGGUCUGCCUUACGACUUACAGGACCCGCCACCCACUCCCCCACCCGCCUUUGACGCUUUACCCCACCUGCCUGCUCCCCCUGGGACUUGUCCCCGUUCUUCCGUUCUUCCGUUUGUUCCUGCCGUUCUCUGAAGCCCUGCACCCUGGACGUCUUCUCUGCCAAAGCUGCCUCCUGCGACCUUUCCUGGCCGCCUGUGUCCCUCGUCCCUGCUUCCCCAGCACGCUAACCCUCACUCCAUGAAGGUGUCGGUGUGGACUUGAAACAGGGCUGAUGUGCCUCCCUCUUGCCCGCACUCCCCGUACCGAGCAGCGGGUGUGUCUGUAAAAGGGACUUCAGUUUGGAAUGAAAGCGACAUCUCUCCUGCACCUGGUCUCCCACAGCCUCCGGGCCACCUGUCGUGGUGCUGAUGAUGUUUAAGUUGCCUGGUGGGGGCGAGGUGGCUCACGGUCGCUGCUCAGGGUCACUCCCCUUCCCUCUGUUACUGUCCUCCUUUCAGGGGAGGACGAGGAGGUGCAGGGCUCCAUCCUCAUGGAAUUGCGACCCACGGGAUGACAGCCCUGACCAAACACUUGUGACUCCUGAGUAGUCUGGAGGAAGGUAGCAAGUGGAGGAACCGCUUAGCUUUUUCUGCCAAGUGGAGUAGCCGAGCAUCAGAACCCCGGGGGGCUCGGGGCAUCCUGCGUGCGCUCCGGACAAGCCGUGGUUCGCUGUGUCGCCUUCUCACGCCCUCUGGUGGCUGGAGGUUGUGCCCACCCUUACUUGCGCCUUGGUGUUUGUAGCCCCCUGCCCGGUGCAGGUUCUCCGAAGCUACAAACAUCUUACGUGUAGAAAGGAGUGGGCAGAUCCCCACCCGUGUGGUAUGAAGAGCUCGCAUAGCUUGAAAAAGCUAGAAAAGCAAGGUGUGCAAACACUGUCGACCUUCCCGUGGGCAUUUCUCCACGAAGAGUAAGACGGCAAUCCGGCUUCCUCACUGCAUGAGGUGUUUCUCUGAAAUAAACACUGAACUACUUCGCAAAUGAUUAACCGUACCUCAGUCUGCAUGCAACUCUGAUGAAAAUGGAAUUCAGGUAAAUCGUCUAGCACAUGCUGUUGAAUACUGCGAGAGAUCUCCUCGUUUGACAAGGAAGAAACAUGUUCGGCCAGAUUGCGUGUCCUUUACGGACACUAACCUAGGAUGGGAGAGGGAGAAAAGUGGGGUCCAGCCUACUGACCAAGAGCAAAGCAAACCCUGCACAAUGCAGAGCUCACGAGUUUGUGCACUUUCCACACACUUACGCCCCUUUCCUUCCUGAGCGCACAGAUGUCCCAACCAGGCCGGUUUUCCUCCCCGGGACUUGCUGUUGUGGGCGCGCCAGGCCUGACCGGGCUGAGAAGGGAAACUGUAGCUCUGGUUUGGGUUUGACAGAGCAUCGCCAUUGGAACACAAGGUGGCCACGAGUCCUUCCAGAUCGACACAGAGCUCCUUCCAGACUGGAAGGCCCCCUGGGAUACGGUGACCUUGUGCCAGAACCAGGAAAGGAUGGAGCACAUGGGGCAGAUGAGAGCUCCCCGCUUCCAGAAUCCCAGAGACGGAGCUAAUGAACUGGGCCUGGAGAGAAGGCUCAUUUCUCCCCAGCGCCACUGUCACUGCAGGGAGACCCAGCCCACCCACCGAGGACAACCCGCAGUGUGGCCAAAUCUUGGUAACUGAGAGCUGAUACAAGUCAUGGAUGUGUCCCAACAGUCCACGCCACUUCCUCCUGGAAGCCCUCCCCCUCUGCCCUCUACACACACUCAUUGCUUCCGGCUCUGUAAUCUGGAUGGAAUGCUUACGAUAUAUGCAGUUAAUCCAGCGCACAUGGAUCAGGCACUGCUGGGGUCCCCAUGGUGAACAAGACUGACACUGGAGCUGACAGGAGUAUGGGGCACCCACAGACACGUGCAGCCACGGGUUACUGGGGUCCAGUGUUCACAGAAUGCUUCUUUGAGGAGACUGCAUAGGUCAGGAGGACUCAUCGGGGUAGAGCAAAUGGCAGGAGACCGUGCAGAGAGAGUGUGGAAAAGCCCAGGGAAGGGAGAGCUUGGGCAUGUUCCAGGGACAAAGGGACUUCAAAGUAAGAGUCUCAGGGAGAACUGACAGAGUGUGGCUACCCAGCUUUGGGGCUGCAGAGGGCUGGGACCAGAGAAGGGACUCCGUUGCCCGAAACUGGGCUGAGCUUUAUCCCAGGGCCAACAGAAAGCCCUCGGAGGUAGGUAGGCAAAGGGCAUGACAUGAUCUGCAUGUGUUCCAAACAUAUCAUUUUUGGCUUUCUUGGAUAUGUUCUUCAUGCAGCAAGGUCUGCUGCUCCCUGUAAGCUCUUUGUGGGGAUGGCCCAGAGCCCCAGUGGGGCAGCGCUCACCAAACUUGGGAGGUGGAGGUCUGCUGAGGGGCCACUCAGCAUUGCACCUGUAAUCCACCCACAAACUGACUCUAGACAAACUAAGAUCAGCAGGCUUUGCUCCAUUUUUGGCAUAAAUUCCAGCUGAGAAGGCAUGUGGAUGCUUCUAUUGUCUCUUGGAAACCUUAAAGGAUUCCAUUUUCCUCUAAAAAGACUAGAGUUUAAAAAACAUGUUCUCAUAAAUUUUGGAAACAUGCCUGCUCUGCCCAUUGUUUUUUUUUUUUUAACCCAUCUUUCUAUUUUUAAAGAUUCUGUAACAUUUAACAGAUACAAAAUAAUAUGUAUAAGAUAGAGGCAUAAUAAUAAAAUGAACACCACAAACCCAUCACCCGGGCCUAAGAACAGGAAUGUCACUGAGCUCACCAAGAAUGUCACCAAGGUCACAAGAACAAGAGUAUCCCUCCCUGAAUCCAUCCCCCUGCCUCAUCUUUAAUCCUGGGGUAACCAGUCUCCUAAAUUUUCUCUGUAUCAGCUCCUUGUUUUUUUAUUUACAGUUUUGUAACGUGAAGUUUAAUUUUGAAUGAUUUGAACUUCAUAAAAUAUCAUACUCUAUGUUGGCUUUUCUGAGACUUUUUUUGAUUUAGCAUUUCUUCUAAGAGUCAUCCUUACUUUUACAUGUGGCUGACGGACAUCCAUUUUCACCAUGGUAUAAUAUUCCAUCGGGUGAUCUCAUCAUGAUUUACUUAUCCAUUCCCCCAGGAUGGACACAUUUCAGUUGUCACUAGUUUUUGUCUAUUCCAAGCAGUGCUGCUGCGAACAUUCUUCCAGAUGCCCCUUGGCACCAUGGUGCGAGAGCGAGAGCGACCAUAGAGCAUGAACCUAGAAAAAAACUUGCUGCCCCUCCAAAUUAUUUGCUGAGUGGCCGUACCAUUUUCCCUCCUAGCAGAGUUCCCUAGAGGGUUGAUGGAGAUGGGAUGGUAUUGCGGUGCUCAUUUACAGUUACCUGCUUCCUAAGAUGGGAUUGUCAUCUUGCCUUAAGUUUAUUUGUCACUUACUUCUCCUCUGAUAGGUAGUUGUUCGUGACUUUGGCCCAUUUUAUUGUUGGAUGGCAUGACUAUAUCUUACUGAAUUUUUAUUGUUCUCCAAAAUUAUUCCUUUAUUGAUUACAUAUAUUCUAAAAACCAGUGCUCAGCUCGUGAAUAAACUCUCUAUUUUGGGAUAAUAUAGAUUUACAAAGUUGCCAAGAUAGUAUAGAGAAUUACCAUCUACUCUUCACUCAGUUUUCCCUAAUGCUCACAUCUUAUAUUACCAAGGGCAUUUGUCACAACAAAGAAACCAACAUUGGUAUAUGUUACUAUUAAUUUAAGCUCAAGACUUUCUGUGGAUUCCACCAGUUUUUCCAGCAAUGUCUUUUUGCUGUUUCAGGAGCCAGUCCCUGCAGGAUACCACCAUGCGUUUCAUGUAAAUUGCCUUAAUUCCCUUUGUGUUGUCUUUUGGUGAAUGGAGUUCUUAAUUUUAAUGUAGUUGCAUUUUUCAUUUAUAAUUAGUACCUUGGGGAACUUGUUUAAGAAGUUCUUCCUUGUGCCUCUGUCAUGAGGAUGCUUUCCUAUAUUUAGGUUUUCCCUUUCACAUUACAGCCUUUCUUCCACGAGGACUGAACUUUGUGCGUGGUGUCAGAUGGAGAUCCAGUUUCAUUUUUCACCUAUAAAAAUAGCUGCAUAAUGAGACCUUAUAUUGAAUAUGAAAGUCCUUCUGCUUUUUUCUUCUUCAAGAAUUCUUUGUCUCUUCUUGGUUCUUUACCCUUACAUAAAAUUUUAGAUUCAGCUUGCUAAAUUCCUUGAAUAAGCCUGCUGGGAUUUGGAUUGCAAUUGCAUUGAGAUUAUUCAGAGAGAAUUGACAUCCUCACAAUAUUGCAUUUACAAUGUCAAUAUCUGCUAUCCAUGAACUUCAUGUUUUCUACAUUGAUUUUGGUCUUUUAAAAUACAUCUCAAGUCUUCCCUUUUGUGACCACUGUUAAAGCACCAGCAGCCAAAAUGAAGUUCAAUUCCUUUGUGACUUCUGACCGGAAUAAGAACCAAAAAGGGCAUUUCAAUACCAAUUUCCACAUUUGCAGCAAGAGGAUGUCUCCUCUCUGCCCAAAGAGUGGAGGCAGAAGUAGUGUUCAGUCCGUGCCCAUCUAAAAGGAUGAUGACAUUCAGGUUUGGCAAGACACCACGAAGGUCAGCAAAUUGGUAACAUAGUCUGGGUUUACAAGAGCUCCGUCUUCUACACUGAACAGGUGCAGCAGGAGAAGACUAAUGGCACGACUUUCCAUGUGGCAUUCAUCCUCGCAAGGUUGUUAACACUAGACCAAAACUGGACAAAACCCCCCAAAGAUCCCUGAACGUAAAGUCAAAUCUUGUCAAGAGGAAAUGAAAAGAGCGAAUAUAAGCAAGAAACAAUUGAGAAGAUGCAGGGAUAAAGUAAUCCUAAACUUUGAUUAAAAAUUGCUACAAUAAGGGGCGCCUGGUGACUCAGUUGGUUAAGUGUUCAACUCUUGGUUUCGGCUCAGGUCAUGAUUGCGGGGUCGUGAGAUAGAGCCCCAAGACCGGCUCCCUGCUCAGAGGGGAGUCUUCUUCCCCUCUCCCUCUUUGUCUGCCCCUCCCCCCGCUUGCACAUACUCUCUCUCUAUAUAUAAAAUAAAUAAAUCUUUAAAAAGUCGCUAAAAUGAAUAAAUAAAAUAAAUGUCUUGGGCGCCUGGGUGGCUCAGUUGGUUAAGCGACUGCCUUCGGCUCAGGUCAUGAUCCUGGAGUCUCUGGAUUGAGUCCCGCAUCGGGCUCCCUGCUUGGUGGGGAGCCUGCUUCUCCCUCUGACCCUCCCCCCUCUCAUGUGCUCUCUGUCUCUCUCAUUCUCUCUGUCUCAAAUAAAUAAAUAAAAUCUUUAAAAAAAAAUAAAUAUAUGU